Non-coding RNA from Pelobates cultripes (western spadefoot toad), 249 nucleotides. The record is from the annotation of a GenBank genome assembly. NCBI's taxonomy places the organism in Eukaryota, Metazoa, Chordata, Amphibia, Anura, Pelobatidae.
UUUUUUGCUGCUACACCGAAUAAAGGUUUUCAGAAAGAUCCUGCAUCCUGGAUUUUGUAAAGCAAGAAGGAGCAAGCAAUUAAGCAGUUGGAUUACAACGACCACCUCACUAAUCCAUUCAAUGUUCCUAGUCUGAGCCAGCUUUCAUAUUAAGUGGCUCAUGAAUAUGUGAGUUUAUUCAAGUAUUCACUCAUUCAUAUAUUAUUUGUACGUUAUUACCCUAUGCCUGUUUUUCCCAUUGUGUUUUUA